This 468-nucleotide ribosomal RNA is filed under the name uncultured bacterium. Its description in RNAcentral is "partial 16S ribosomal RNA". It matches the Rfam family "Bacterial small subunit ribosomal RNA", at positions 28 to 507 of the family's 1533-position model. The record is from RNAcentral.
GACGAACGCUGGCGGCGUGCUUACCACAUGCAAGUCGAACGGAAAGUCCCUCUUCUUGUGCAGUGCUAGGGUGACGUACGGGUGCGUAACACUGGAGUAACCUGCCCUUGGCCUUGGGAUCACUUCAGGAAACUGGCGCUAAUACCGGAGAGCCGCUCCUCCUGCCGGGUGGGGGUUGGACCGGUUCGGCGGUUGGGUACCGACUCGCGCCUGAUCAGCAUGUUGGUGGAGUAGUGGCUUAGCAAGGCCUUGACGGAGCGCCGGCCGGAGCGGGUGACCAGCCACAUCGGGACUGCGAGACGGCCCAGACUCCUACGGGAGCCAGCAGCGGGGAAUGUUGCAGAAUGGGCCCAAGCCGGAUGCAGCGGCCCGCCGUGCGGGAUGACGGCCUUCUGGUUGUAAACCGGGUUCGCAGGUAACGAAGCGGGUGUGACGGUAAGGGGUAAAGAAGCACCGGCUAAGUACGUG